Molecule: ribosomal RNA, 404 nt
Filed under: Verrucomicrobiota bacterium
Lineage: Bacteria; Pseudomonadati; Verrucomicrobiota
Description: Verrucomicrobia bacterium partial 16S ribosomal RNA
Rfam family: Bacterial small subunit ribosomal RNA
Source: RNAcentral
UGGGGAAUAUUGCACAAUGGAGGGAACUCUGAUGCAGCGACGCCGCGUGAACGAAGAAGGCUUUCGAGUCGUAAAGUUCUUUUAUAUGGGAAGAUAAUGACGGUACCAUAAGAAAAAGCCCCGGCUAACUACGUGCCAGCAGCCGCGGUAAUACGUAGGCGGCAAGCGUUGUCCGGAAUUAUUGGGCGUAAAGCGCGCGCAGGUGGUUUAGAAAGUCUGAUGUGAAAGCCCACGGCUCAACCGUGGAGGGUCAUUGGAAACUAAUAAACUUGAGUGCAGGAGAGAAAAGUGGAAUUCCUAGUGUAGCGGUGAAAUGCGUAGAGAUUAGGAGGAACACCGGUGGCGAAAGCGGCUUUUUGGCCUGCAACUGACACUGAGGCGCGAAAGCGUGGGGAGCAAACAGG